AAAUUAUAUCAAUAAUUUUUCUCAUUUAAUUUUUGUUAUAACCAUCCAUAAUAUGACAAAGAUUUCGUUCGUUACAAGUACUCGUAAAGAUUUCGUCACAAAAUGUAUAAUAUGUAUUUAGUAGGACCAUCGAAGCAAGGAACAUUCCAUGUGUCCGUAGAGAAGGCUACAAAAUGAGAUCGCUGCUGGUCUCAGCGAAAGCGAGGAUGCGAUACUAACGUAGAGUGCAAACCCAAGCACUUUGACUUGGGCACAUGUUGUGCCAACUCAGCGAAAAUGCAAGCUCAUAUCAUCAAAAGGAGGAGAGGCAAGGAAGCGAGAUUAAGCCCUUGUUCGACAGCUGGCAACGUAUAUCAUACGUAAUACACGUACGAGAAUAGCAGAGAGAGCAAUGUGUAAAGGAAGUACAUUUAGAAAGAACUCUACAUUUAUUAUAAUGUUUCAUAUACAACGAUGGAGGGUGGCGGAAGAAGACGAGGAGAGGAGAGGGAAAGCAGAGCAAGGGUGGGGCGACGAAGCUGCCGAUGGGAUGGGGAGCUAUGAGGGCGAAGUUAUCCAAUUAUUGUCUAACCUGGGAGCAACUUUACUUGGCGGAGAACCGUUGGUGGGAGGAAAGCUCGUCCUGCCAGCUCUCUCCCUUCCUACAAUCGAGCCACGAUAAAGUAAAGUUUGUUUCAAAACUUGCCGCGCGGAGAGGUGACUAGGUUUUUGUUAGUGACACGUGAAAUUCAAACGACUUCAUUGCGAUAAUAAUCGCGCAAGUUUUUAAUAUCGAUCAAUGAAAAGAAGAAAAUUCAGAUUCAAAUCAGGAUUCCAUAAAUUAACUCAAAAGUUCAUUAAUAAUGAUUGUAACAAAACUUUUUCAAUGUGAAUGUUUAAAAAAAUAACGUGUUAUAUUGCCUGAUAUAUGAUUAGAUACAAGAGAAAUAA
Apis florea (little honeybee) is the source of this 930-nucleotide long non-coding RNA. RefSeq lists it as uncharacterized. The record is from RefSeq and is a predicted model, not a curated record. NCBI's taxonomy places the organism in Eukaryota, Metazoa, Arthropoda, Insecta, Hymenoptera, Apidae.